RNAcentral lists this microRNA (22 nucleotides) under Dinoponera quadriceps. RNAcentral describes it as "dqu-miR-2a-5p". Its record names the gene dqu-miR-2a-5p. Lineage: Eukaryota; Metazoa; Arthropoda; Insecta; Hymenoptera; Formicidae. The record is from miRBase by way of RNAcentral.
UCAUCAGAGUGGUUGUGACAUG